This 647-nucleotide ribosomal RNA is filed under the name Aphelenchus sp. Ap084. RNAcentral's name for it is "SSU rRNA". It matches the Rfam family "Eukaryotic small subunit ribosomal RNA", at positions 1093 to 1773 of the family's 1831-position model. Lineage: Eukaryota; Metazoa; Nematoda; Chromadorea; Rhabditida; Aphelenchidae. The record is from RNAcentral.
GGGAGCUUCCCSGGAACGAAAGUCUUCCGGKUYCSGGGGAAGUAUGGUUGCAAAGCUGAAACUUAAAGGAAWUGACGGAAGGGCACCACCAGGAGUGGAGCCUGCGGCUUAAUUUGACUCAACACGGGGAAACUCACCCGGCCCGGACACCGUGAGGAUUGACAGAUUGAAAGCUCUUUCUUGAUUCGGUGGUUGGUGGUGCAUGGCCGUUCUUAGUUCGUGGAGCGAUUUGUCUGGUUUAUUCCGAUAACGAGCGAGACUCUAGCUUACUAAAUAGUCUGGUCUUUAUUACUGAGGCCUGACUUCUUAGAGGGAUUUUCGGUGUUCAGCCGCACGAGAUUGAGCAAUAACAGGUCUGUGAUGCCCUUAGAUGUCCGGGGCUGCACGCGCGCUACACUGGCGAAAUCAGCGUGCUUUUCCUAUCUCGAAAGAGAUUGGUAAACCGAUGAAAAUUUGCCGUGAUUGGGAUCGGAAAUUGCAAUUAUUUUCCGUGAACGAGGAAUUCCAAGUAAGUGCGAGUCAUCAACUCGCGUUGAUUACGUCCCUGCCCUUUGUACACACCGCCCGUCGCUGCCCGGGACUGAGCCAUUUCGAGAAAAUCGGGGAUUGCUGAUUUCUGUUCUUUCGGGAACAGACUUUGGCGAAAA